This is a non-coding RNA of Erpetoichthys calabaricus (reedfish), 82 nucleotides long. Lineage: Eukaryota; Metazoa; Chordata; Cladistia; Polypteriformes; Polypteridae. The record is from the annotation of a RefSeq genome assembly.
GUAGUCGUGGCCGAGUGGUUAAGGUGAUGGACUCAAAAUCCAUUGGGGUUUCCCCACGCAGGUUUGAAUCCUGUCGACUACG